RNAcentral lists this ribosomal RNA (323 nucleotides) under uncultured eukaryote. Its description in RNAcentral is "partial 18S ribosomal RNA". It matches the Rfam family "Eukaryotic small subunit ribosomal RNA", at positions 1470 to 1796 of the family's 1831-position model. The record is from RNAcentral.
CCCUUAGAUGUUCUGGGCCGCACGCGCGCUACACUGAUCAGUGCAACAAGCAUCCGUCCUUGGCCGACAGGCCCGGGCAAUCUUUGAACGCUGAUCGUGAUGGGGAUAGACUUUUGCAAUUUUUGGUCUUCAACGAGGAAUUCCUAGUAAACGCAAGUCAUCAACUUGCAUUGAUUACGUCCCUGCCCUUUGUACACACCGCCCGUCGCUCCUACCGAUUGGAUGAUCCGGUGAGCUAUUCGGACCCUCGCUUCGUCGAUUUUCGGCUUUGUGAGGGAAAGUCUCGCGAACCUUAUCAUCUAGAGGAAGGAGAAGUCGUAACA